GAUUAUAAAAAACGCAUUUUAUUAAACUAAAAAUUUUAGACGCUAAUGGGUAAAAUACAACUAAACAUUAUUUUUUCGGAAAAUUGAAGAUGCAUCAUAAAGCAUUAAAAUACAAUUAUAAUGAUCAUCAAAUCCGAAUGAAUUAUAGUUGUUUUCUCCUUUUUUUGGGAUCUUUGCUUCCACUGAUUAUGUUGAGUACACCAAACAAAUUCUCUUGAAAAUUCUUCAUAUUUGUACUUCCUUGGAUCACCAUCCAUCCAACUUUGCAAUUUAGAUCUUGAAUUUGUAGAUAGAAAUGUAACGUCUUCUCUAACAUCGUCUACAACAAAACAACCAAUAUAACAACUAAAUAUAAAAUUUUAAUGAAUAAUCAAUCUAAAAUUUAAACAAAAAUUAAAAUACCUAAACCAUAAGGUGAUGUAACCAUAGACAAAGGUGCGGUAUUCUUUGACAUUACCUUCCAAACAAGCCCUACACGAACAGGAAAACGGAAAUUAGAGGAUGAUGAAUAAAAGGAAGAACAAAGUUCAGUAUAUCAUCCAUCGAAUUGCUUUCCAUCCAAUUUUGCAAUUUAGAUCUUGAAUCUGUAGAUAGCAAUGUAACGUCUUCUCUAACAUCGUAUACAACAAAACAACCAAUAUAACAACUAAAUAUAUAAUUUUAAUGAAUAAUCAAUCUAAAAUUUAAACAAAAAUUAAAAUACCUAAACCAUAAGGUGAUGUAACCAUAGACAAAGGUGCGGUAUUCUUUGACAUUACCUUCCAAACAACCCCUACACGAACAGGAAAACGGAAAUUAGAGGAUGAUGAAUAAAAGGAAGAACA
This 824-nucleotide long non-coding RNA is filed under the name Capsella rubella. RNAcentral describes it as "long non-coding RNA (CRUB_LNC004240)". Lineage: Eukaryota; Viridiplantae; Streptophyta; Magnoliopsida; Brassicales; Brassicaceae. The record is from RNAcentral.